Molecule: long non-coding RNA, 1150 nt
Organism: Oncorhynchus masou masou (cherry salmon)
Lineage: Eukaryota; Metazoa; Chordata; Actinopteri; Salmoniformes; Salmonidae
Exons: 3
Source: RefSeq, a predicted model, not a curated record
GUCCACAGUAGACAUGUCCCACUAUAAUGCCAAGCUGCAAAGUCGAAAUUGGCAUAAAUCGUGAAAAAUGUAUGAAGACGUCAAUUCGCUUUUUGCUCUUCAUUUAAGCGUAGGUCAGGCACACGUUUAGGAGUAUGGUUAAUGUUAGCGUCGGUUUGGAAAUCCGAUUUUUAAAGAAGAUAAAAUUGUAGAACUUCCGGGUUUUGCAGCUUGGCCAUAUAGUGACAGCCCCUCAGACAGGCCAGCGGUGUGUUCUCCGUUUCUCUCGUCUCACUGAGUUGUGUUCACAGCUAAUGCACGGACACGGGACGGACCGCCCGUCUGCCAGUGGGUUGACGAUCUGCGUUACUUUGUUGUCCCUGCUACUUUUUACAGCUUGGUCUGUCUUUCUCUGAUCGUGUGCCUGCCCUGCCAUGGCUGUCCUGCUAAGGCGUGUGGCUCUACAGUUGUCCCUGAGACAGACCAGGAUCCCCCCCCAGAAGGCCCUGCUGCUAGCCACUCGUCUAGCCUGAGUAGCAUAGCCCCCCCAUCCCUCCCUACAUCCCUCCCUCCUAGACAGGGUGUGUCAGUCGGGCGUGUCUUCUCUCUCUCUCCUCCAAUCAGCAGACAGGAGCAGCCAAUCAGAAGCAGCCAUGUCGGGGUUCAAUCUGCUACACCUGAUCACCAAUGCCAAGCCUGUUACUCUGAAGCCAUGUGGGCUCCCUUCAGGUUGAGCUGGGCGCUGUGUGGUGUGGUGUGGUGUGCCUGUCUGCUCUGCUCUGCCCUCUUCUGGUUUUUAAAUCUCCUUGAGAUGUGUGAUGUUUUUAUGAAGGGUGUGUGUGAUGUUAUGAAGGGUGUGUGUGAUGUUAUGAAGGGUGUGUGUGAUGUUAUGAAGGGUGUGUGUGAUUUUGUUGUUGUCUCCUGCCGAAAAAACACUCCCCACCUACAUUAGUAUUUAUUAAGUUAAUAUUUGAUCAUUAUGGUAAUUAUUGAAGCAUUGAAGUCCUUUUUCAUAGGAUGUUUACAGCUGGCAGGUUUCUUUGCCCUGUAUAAUAAAUACAUAAUAUUAAAAUAUCGAGAUACAAAGUUAUUUAUUUGAAAGCUUGGUGAUUGUGGUGUUUUUACUGCAGUUUGUCAAUAACAACCCUUCUCACUUUCUGCUCAGCUACAA